UGGGGAAUAUUGGACAAUGGGCGAAAGCCUGAUCCAGCCAUGCCGCGUGUGUGAAGAAGGUCUUCGGAUUGUAAAGCACUUUAAGUUGGGAGGAAGGGCAUUAACCUAAUACGUUAGUGUUUUGACGUUACCGACAGAAUAAGCACCGGCUAACUCUGUGCCAGCAGCCGCGGUAAUACAGAGGGUGCAAGCGUUAAUCGGAAUUACUGGGCGUAAAGCGCGCGUAGGUGGUUUGUUAAGUUGGAUGUGAAAUCCCCGGGCUCAACCUGGGAACUGCAUUCAAAACUGACUGACUAGAGUAUGGUAGAAGGUGGUGGAAUUUCCUGUGUAGCGAUGAAGUGCGUAGAUAUAGGAAGGAACACCAGUGGCGAAGGCGACCACC
Molecule: ribosomal RNA, 382 nt
Filed under: uncultured bacterium
Lineage: Bacteria
Description: partial 16S ribosomal RNA
Rfam family: Bacterial small subunit ribosomal RNA
Source: RNAcentral